UACGUAGGGUGCGAGCGUUAAUCGGAAUUACUGGGCGUAAAGCGUGCGCAGGCGGUUCGUUGUGUCGGCGGUGAAAGCCCCGGGCUCAACCUGGGAAUGGCCGUUGAAACUGGCGAACUGGAGUGUGGCAGAGGGGGGUGGAAUUCCGGGUGGAGUGGUGAAAUGCGUAGAGAUCCGGAGGAACACCAGAGGCGAAGGCGGCGCGCUGGGCUGCACCUGACGCUGAAACACGAAAGCCAGGGUAGCGAACGGG
RNAcentral lists this ribosomal RNA (253 nucleotides) under uncultured bacterium. RNAcentral's name for it is "partial 16S ribosomal RNA". It matches the Rfam family "Bacterial small subunit ribosomal RNA", at positions 524 to 776 of the family's 1533-position model. The record is from RNAcentral.